UCAAUAUAAAUUGAUUAGUAUUUAUUUAUUAAUUUAUAUGGUUGGUUUUAUAUUCUAUUAAAAAUAAUUGUAAAGAGUCUUGUUUUAGUAAUGUUUAAUGAAAAAAUAAUUUUAAUUAUAGUGUAUUAUGGUACCGUGGGGGAAUAUUGAAAUAUUUUGAAAAAUUUUUAUUUAAAAAGAAAACUUUAUUUGCUGUACCUUGUGUAUCAGGGUUUAUCAAUUAAAUAGUAUUUAUAUACUGUUCUCGAUUUUAUAAGAGUUAAUUAUCUAUUAAAUUUAAUGUAUUAUAAUUAUUUUAAAUAGAUAAUUGGAAAUGAAAUGUUAUUCGUUUAUAAAGGUAUCUAGUUAUUCCAGAAAUAAAUUUAAUUUACUAAGGUUUAAUUUUUACUUUAAUUAUAUGAGGGUAAAAAAUUAUUCUUUAGAAUACUUUAUGGGAUAAGCUUUAAAGUAAAUAUUUAAAAGUUGGUUAAUAUAUUAAUAAAUGUAUGCAUAGAAUUAGCAAUCAUUAGUGAGUUUGUUUUAAAUCAUUUUAUUAUUUAGAUUAUUUAUUUUACUUUAAUUUUUUAUGGAAUUUAUUAUUUUAAUUUUAAAGAUAAUGUAAUAAUGAUUAAAUUAGUAUACUAUUAUUGUUGAUAAUUAUUUAUUUGAUAAGUUUAUAUAAAGAACUCGGCAAAUUUUAUGCCCGCCUGUUUAACAAAAACAUGUCUUUUUGAGAUUUUUUUAAAGUCUGACCUGCCCAAUGAGUGUUUUAAUGGCCGCAGUAUUCUAACUGUGCAAAGGUAGCAUAAUCAUUAGUCUUUUAAUUGAAGGCUGGUAUGAAUGGUUGGACGAGGUAUAAGCUGUUUCAUAUAAAAUUGUUAUAGAAUUUUAUUUUUUAGUUAAAAAGCUAAAAUUUUAUUAAAAGACGAGAAGACCCUAUAAAUCUUUAUACUUUUUGGCAAAUAAAUUUUUUAGAUUAAGUUUAUUUUUGUGUCAUUAAGUAUUUUAUUGGGGUGAUAAUAAAAUUUACAUAACUUUUAAUUUUUUUUUCACAUUAAUUUAUGAAAGUUUGAUCCAUUAUUAGUGAUUAUAAGAUUAAGUUACUUUAGGGAUAACAGCGUAAUUUUUUUGGAGAGUUCAUAUCGAUAAAAAAGAUUGCGACCUCGAUGUUGGAUUAAGAUAUAAUUUUAGGUGCAGCCGCUUAAAUUUUAAGUCUGUUCGACUUU
RNAcentral lists this ribosomal RNA (1205 nucleotides) under Platystoma seminationis. RNAcentral describes it as "partial 16S ribosomal RNA". The record is from RNAcentral. Lineage: Eukaryota; Metazoa; Arthropoda; Insecta; Diptera; Platystomatidae.